This 253-nucleotide ribosomal RNA is filed under the name uncultured bacterium. RNAcentral's name for it is "partial 16S ribosomal RNA". It matches the Rfam family "Bacterial small subunit ribosomal RNA", at positions 524 to 776 of the family's 1533-position model. The record is from RNAcentral.
UACGUAGGCAGCGAGCGUUGUUCGGAAUUACUGGGCGUAAAGAGUGUGUAGGCGGCUCCGUAAGUUUGGUGUGAAAUCUCCCGGCUUAACUGGGAGGGUGCGCCGAAGACUGCGGGGCUGGAGUAUGGGAGGGGAAAGCGGAAUUCCUGGUGUAGCGGUGAAAUGCGUAGAUAUCAGGAGGAACACCUGCGGUGUAGACGGCUUUCUGGACCAUCACUGACGCUGAGACACGAAAGCGUGGGUAGCAAACAGG